Molecule: unclassified non-coding RNA, 154 nt
Filed under: uncultured fungus
Lineage: Eukaryota; Fungi
Description: sequence contains ITS1, 5.8S rRNA gene
Source: RNAcentral
CAGGACUCGCAAGACUCCCGUAACCACUGUGAACCUUACCACUCUGUUGCCUCGGCGGGUGCUCCCUCCCCCCGCGGGAGGGCGCGCACGCCCGCCGACGGCCCACAACUCGCUGUCUGAUCUUUGCAUCUCCGAGUACCACACAAACGAAUCA